UGGGGAAUUUUGGACAAUGGGGGAAACCCUGAUCCAGCCAUCCCGCGUGUGCGAUGAAGGCCUUCGGGUUGUAAAGCACUUUUGGCAGGAAAGAAACGUCGCGGGUUAAUACCCCGCGGAACUGACGGUACCUGCAGAAUAAGCACCGGCUAACUACGUGCCAGCAGCCGCGGUAAUACGUAGGGUGCAAGCGUUAAUCGGAAUUACUGGGCGUAAAGCGUGCGCAGGCGGUUCGGAAAGAAAGAUGUGAAAUCCCAGAGCUUAACUUUGGAACUGCAUUUUUAACUACCGGGCUAGAGUGUGUCAGAGGGAGGUGGAAUUCCGCGUGUAGCAGUGAAAUGCGUAGAUAUGCGGAGGAACACCGAUGGCGAAGGCAGCCUCCUGGGAUAACACUGACGCUCAUGCACGAAAGCGUGGGGAGCAAACAGGAUUAGAUACCCUGGUAGUCCACGCCCUAAACGAUGUCAACUAGCUGUUGGGGUCUUCGGACCUUGGUAGCGCAGCUAACGCGUGAAGUUGACCGCCUGGGGAGUACGGUCGCAAGAUUAAAACUUAAAGGAA
Molecule: ribosomal RNA, 561 nt
Filed under: uncultured bacterium
Lineage: Bacteria
Description: partial 16S ribosomal RNA
Rfam family: Bacterial small subunit ribosomal RNA
Source: RNAcentral